RNAcentral lists this unclassified non-coding RNA (80 nucleotides) under Mucilaginibacter pineti. RNAcentral's name for it is "Flavo-1 RNA". The record is from RNAcentral. Lineage: Bacteria; Pseudomonadati; Bacteroidota; Sphingobacteriia; Sphingobacteriales; Sphingobacteriaceae.
ACCCAGCCGCGUUAGGGAUAGCAGCGGAUACCGGCCCGUGACUAAGGCCCGUGCAGUAUGAGCGAAUAGCCCGGCCGAAG